GAUGAACGCUGGCGGCGUGCUUAACACAUGCAAGUCGAACGGGAAUUAUGUUAUUGAAACUUCGGUCGAUUUAAUUUAAUUCUAGUGGCGGACGGGUGAGUAACGCGUGGGUAACCUGCCUUAUACAGGGGGAUAACAGUCAGAAAUGGCUGCUAAUACCGCAUAAGCGCACAUCGCUGCAUGGCUCCGUGUGAAAAACUCCGGUGGUAUAAGAUGGACCCGCGUUGGAGUAGCUGGUUGGUGUGGUCACGGCCCACCAAGGCGACGAGCCAUAGCCGGCAGGAGAGGGUGAACGGCAACAGUGGGGCGGAGACACGGCCCAGACUCCGACGGGAGGCAGCAGUGGGGAAUAUUGCACAAUGGGGGAAGUCCUGAUGCAGCGACGCGGCGUGAAGGAAGAAGUAUCUCGGUAUGUAAACUUCUAUCAGCAGGGAAGAUAGUGACGGUACCUGACUAAGAAGCCCCGGCUAACUACGUG
RNAcentral lists this ribosomal RNA (478 nucleotides) under uncultured bacterium. RNAcentral describes it as "partial 16S ribosomal RNA". It matches the Rfam family "Bacterial small subunit ribosomal RNA", at positions 28 to 507 of the family's 1533-position model. The record is from RNAcentral.